Molecule: ribosomal RNA, 253 nt
Filed under: uncultured bacterium
Lineage: Bacteria
Description: partial 16S ribosomal RNA
Rfam family: Bacterial small subunit ribosomal RNA
Source: RNAcentral
UACGGAGGGCGCGAGCGUUAAUCGGAAUUACUGGGCGUAAAGCGCACGCAGGCGGUUUGUUAAGCUAGAUGUGAAAGCCCCGGGCUCAACCUGGGAUGGUCAUUUAGAACUGGCAGACUAGAGUCUUGGAGAGGGGAGUGGAAUUCCAGGUGUAGCGGUGAAAUGCGUAGAUAUCUGGAGGAACAUCAGUGGCGAAGGCGACUCCCUGGCCAAAGACUGACGCUCAUGUGCGAAAGUGUGGGUAGCGAACAGG